Molecule: unclassified non-coding RNA, 225 nt
Filed under: Hevea brasiliensis (rubber tree)
Lineage: Eukaryota; Viridiplantae; Streptophyta; Magnoliopsida; Malpighiales; Euphorbiaceae
Source: RNAcentral
AUUGUUCAAUUUUUUUAAUCUUUUGUAGAUGCAUUUUGAAAAGGAGAGAAGAUGUUGGACUAUUAGGGAGUAUUUCUUGUCAUUUUUACUAAUCAACCUCCCAAGGCUGAUUUGUUUUAAUUUCCUUCUACAUAGAUUUUUUUUCUGAUAUCUUAUGCAGUAGAUUUUUUAGGCUGUGUGUAGCAAUUCUGGGAUUUUUGUUGUCCAUUGUUUAUUUCGUACUAA